Molecule: long non-coding RNA, 388 nt
Organism: Pungitius pungitius (ninespine stickleback)
Lineage: Eukaryota; Metazoa; Chordata; Actinopteri; Perciformes; Gasterosteidae
Exons: 4
Source: RefSeq, a predicted model, not a curated record
GCGGCCCUGAUGACGCGUCCAAGAUGGCCGACAGGCCCCUGAGCUGUAACUUCCGCUGCCCGACUGUUCGUGACGAUGGAGACCUGAUGGAAGAAAGGAGACUGACUGAAAAUGUUGGAGGAGCAGCUGGAGAACAACAAGGUUCAAGACAAGCGGACGGAGGACGAAAUGAACAAAGCUGCUGAAUGAGCAGAGACACUUGAAGGUCCUGGAGGAGACGAGGAGGAUGGAGGAACAUUUGGGCGCAGUUUCCAGACCUGAGGACGGCAGGUUUCUUCUUCUGCUCUGCGGUUACUCUGAGAAGUAACUUUGACAGUUUGGGGGUGGUUCAGCUUUUGUCAAAUGUUUGCUGUGCAGCUGAAUUUUAAUAAAGAAUAAUGUAGCAUAA